This 219-nucleotide unclassified non-coding RNA is filed under the name Hevea brasiliensis (rubber tree). Lineage: Eukaryota; Viridiplantae; Streptophyta; Magnoliopsida; Malpighiales; Euphorbiaceae. The record is from RNAcentral.
AAUUGAUGCAUUUCCACCUAGAUCUGUAUGAAUAAUGACACAGCCACAAUAAUUAUGACUCAGCGAGAUGCCACAGUUUAGAGAGCACGGGAUGAAGAGAGAUAUGAGAUAUCUGAGUUUUGAAACUGUUCAAGUACCCAAGCAUAUUGGUUAAAUAGAAGCAUGGUAUAAGAAAGAUAAAAGAAGUAGCACUCACUGUCUGCAAAUCUAAGAACAGGA